CCAAAGCAAGGUUUCUCAAACAACUGUGGGGUGUUUGUUUUGAUGGAAAACAUGCAGCAAAUUAGGCGAUGGUGGUGCCUAGUUCUCCUGCAGAACUUUCCCACGCCGUCUGAAGAAGAGAGGUUGAAAGAUCGAAAAAGGCAGCGAAAACAAAACACAC
This is a non-coding RNA of Salvelinus sp. IW2-2015, 160 nucleotides long. NCBI's taxonomy places the organism in Eukaryota, Metazoa, Chordata, Actinopteri, Salmoniformes, Salmonidae. The record is from RefSeq and is a predicted model, not a curated record.